RNAcentral lists this ribosomal RNA (253 nucleotides) under uncultured bacterium. Its description in RNAcentral is "partial 16S ribosomal RNA". It matches the Rfam family "Bacterial small subunit ribosomal RNA", at positions 524 to 776 of the family's 1533-position model. The record is from RNAcentral.
GACGAAGGAUGCAAGCGUUAUCCGGAUUCAUUGGGUUUAAAGGGAGCGUAGGUGGCCUUAUAAGUCAGUGGUGAAAUCUCUCAGCUUAACUGAGAAAUUGCCAUUGAUACUGUAGGGCUUGAGUACAGAUGCCGUUGGCGGAAUAUGACAUGUAGUGGUGAAAUACAUAGAGAUGUCAUGGAACACCGAUUGCGAAGGCAGCUGACGAAACUGUAACUGACACUGAGGCUCGAAAGUGCGGGGAUCAAACAGG